Molecule: small RNA, 1135 nt
Filed under: Pan troglodytes (chimpanzee)
Lineage: Eukaryota; Metazoa; Chordata; Mammalia; Primates; Hominidae
Description: processed transcript
Source: RNAcentral
AUUUCACAGAAUCAUAAAAUUGAUCACUUAAUAUUGAUGCUGGGCCUGGGCAUGGUGGCUCACGCCUGUAAUCCCAGCACUUUGAGAGGCCAAGGCUGGUCUUGAACUCCUGGCCUCAAGCAAUCCUGUCUUGGCCUCCCAAAGUGCUGGGAUCACAGGCUUGAGCCACUGCAUCCGGCCUCCCAUUCCUUAUACUACUUGAAAUUUUGGAAAUUUUGGUAUUUUAGAAAAUGAAAAAUUGUGCACAUUUACUGCUGGUGUAGAUUCUUCUUUAGUGUAAUUUUCUUAUGACUCUCAUGAAUAAACUGAUCCUUUUUGUGAGUUGAGCUGUGGUAAAUAACAUCACAUUUUAGCACGAGGGUUGCCACCUAUUAAUUCAAACAAGCCAGAGGUCAUAGAUCUACUUGGUGACUGGUGGAGCUGUGUGGAUCUGGUAACUUGGGAGCCAUUGUUCACUGCCUCUGCUGAUUUGUUGCCACAUUUUUCUCAUUCAUUCUGGACAUUGCAGUGGAGGGAGCCCCCUCUACUUUUGACUCCUGUCCUUCAGUUUCUCCAUCUGCUCAUGCGCCCUCUUAACCAUGUGGCAUGCCACUUUCGUGGUGGCCUCCCCUCUUUAUUUGCUGUGGAUGACCAGGGCCAUCAUCCUUUAUUCUCUGAUGUGGAAACUAUUCAAGGGAAGUGAGCAAACUGGGCCAAUGGUAGGAUGUCAUUGCAGAGUGCCAGGAUAUCCUGAUGCUUUGAAGGAAAACCACUGGAGAACUUGGAUGCUUUAUCAUGGUUUUGCCAAAAAUAUAGCUAUUGAGUGGCAGUCACUGUGCUAGGGAAUGGCCAUCACCUUUUUGUUAGGAAAUAAUGUUUUAUAUGCAUUUUCAAUUGAAGCAAACAUACCAAAUGGAAGAUAAUUAUAUAAAUUCACUUAUAUGAUCAACAUUUGUAAUAUCCUGUGCCUUGCUUGGUAAAUGGCAAAUAAAGAUCUCUGGUGCACAUUUAAAAGAAUGCUCUUUUUUUUGGGCUCUCUGAAGGUUGACCUGCUCUUUCUUUCUGAACUGCAAGUGCUACAUGAUAUUUCAAGCUUGCUGUCUCGUCAUAAGCAUCUAGCCAAGGAUCAUUCUCCUGAUUUAUAUUCACUGGAGCU